GAUGAAGAACGUAGCGAAAUGCGAUAAGUAAUGUGAAUUGCAGAAUUCAGUGAAUCAUCGAAUCUUUGAACGCACAUUGCGCCCGCUGGUAUUCCGGCGGGCAUGCCUGUUCGAGCGUCAUUUCAACCCUCAAGCCCCCGGGUUUGGUGUUGGGGAUCGGCUCUGCCCUCUGGGCGGUGCCGCCCCCGAAAUACAUUGGCGGUCUCGCUGCAGCCUCCAUUGCGUAGUAGCUAACACCUCGCAACUGGAACGCGGCGCGGCCAUGCCGUAAAACCCCAACUUCUGAAUGUUGACCUCGGAUCAGGUAGGAAUACCCGCUGAACUUAAGCAUAUCAAUAAGCGGAGGA
Molecule: unclassified non-coding RNA, 347 nt
Filed under: soil metagenome
Description: partial contains 5.8S ribosomal RNA, internal transcribed spacer 2, and large subunit ribosomal RNA
Rfam family: 5.8S ribosomal RNA (bases 1-120)
Source: RNAcentral